UACAGAGGGUGCAAGCGUUAAUCGGAAUUACUGGGCGUAAAGGGCACGCAGGCGGUCGGUCAAGUCGGAUGUGAAAUCCCCGGGCUCAACCUGGGAACUGCAUCCGAAACUGGCAGGCUUGAGUCUUGUAGAGGGGAGUAGAAUUCCAGGUGUAGCGGUGAAAUGCGUAGAGAUCUGGAGGAAUACCGGUGGCGAAGGCGGCCCCCUGGACAAUGACUGACGCUGAGGCGCGAAAGCGUGGGGAGCAAACAGG
RNAcentral lists this unclassified non-coding RNA (253 nucleotides) under uncultured Enterobacteriaceae bacterium. RNAcentral describes it as "contains 16S-23S intergenic spacer region". It matches the Rfam family "Bacterial small subunit ribosomal RNA", at positions 524 to 776 of the family's 1533-position model. The record is from RNAcentral. Lineage: Bacteria; Pseudomonadati; Pseudomonadota; Gammaproteobacteria; Enterobacterales; Enterobacteriaceae.